Small nuclear RNA from Artibeus jamaicensis (Jamaican fruit-eating bat), 106 nucleotides. NCBI's taxonomy places the organism in Eukaryota, Metazoa, Chordata, Mammalia, Chiroptera, Phyllostomidae. The record is from RefSeq and is a predicted model, not a curated record.
GUGCUUGUUCCGGCAGCACAUAUGCGAACACUGGAACAAAGCGGAGAAGAUUAAAUGGCCCCCGAGUGCGGACGACAUGCAAAUUCGUGAAAUGUUUCAUAUUUUC